UAGCCCUAGGGGCGCAGCAGUGAGGAAUAUUGGUCAAUGGUCGGGAGACUGAACCAGCCAAGCCGCGUGAGGGAUGAAGGUACAGAGUAUCGUAAACCUCUUUUGUCAGGGAACAAAGGCGGGGACGCGUCCCCGGAUGAGUGUACCUGAAGAAAAAGCAUCGGCUAACUCCGUGCCAGCAGCCGCGGUAAUACGGAGGAUGCGAGCGUUAUCCGGAUUUAUUGGGUUUAAAGGGUGCGCAGGCGGUCCGUUAAGUCAGCGGUCAAAGCCCGGGGCUCAACCCCGGCCCGCCGUUGCAACUGGCA
RNAcentral lists this ribosomal RNA (305 nucleotides) under uncultured bacterium. Its description in RNAcentral is "bacterial SSU rRNA". It matches the Rfam family "Bacterial small subunit ribosomal RNA", at positions 334 to 638 of the family's 1533-position model. The record is from RNAcentral.